GGACUCUGGAUUUGGGAGGCGGCGGAGUGUGGAAGGACCAUGGCAAUGGAGGAAGGUUGCAGCAGCAGCACGGACAAGCCUGUAGCUGUAGGUGGAGCGGCGCACAGACGGAGGCCCUCCCGCUGGUGGCCGUGGUGCUCCAGAGCUUAUGGAAUGGCUGCUCCUCUGUAGCUCGGUGCCAUGCCGUGGGGAUACAUUCGGAGCGGCGGUUCGUGGAAAAAGAGUAAUACGGCGGUGGUCUGCCUGCUUGCCGUCUUGCUGACGCUUCGGUGACAACGAUUGGAACGAGCAAUGUUCCCUUCCGCGUCCCCUCCCAGCAAUGAGCCUGUUCUUCACUUGGUACUAGAGAGAUGCAAGUGGUGAAAGAUAUUGCUGGAGAGUUGCCACUCACUUUAAUACCAAGGAGAUCAAACGGAAUAUAUCUGAUGUGCCUCAAAAUUAAAAGGAUCUUCUGAAGAAGAGUCCAUUUAAUGGCGUACAUGUUGAAGCAUCAGGAGUCAGUGGACCUAGA
This is a non-coding RNA of Lolium perenne, 511 nucleotides long. Lineage: Eukaryota; Viridiplantae; Streptophyta; Magnoliopsida; Poales; Poaceae. The record is from RefSeq and is a predicted model, not a curated record.